GGGCCGUUAGCUCAGUGGAUAGAGCAGAGGUUUUCUAAACCUCAAACGCGGGUCCGAUUCCCGCACGGCCCU
RNAcentral lists this transfer RNA (72 nucleotides) under Chloroflexota bacterium. RNAcentral describes it as "tRNA-Arg". It matches the Rfam family "tRNA". Rfam says of the family: Transfer RNA (tRNA) molecules are approximately 80 nucleotides in length. Their secondary structure includes four short double-helical elements and three loops (D, anti-codon, and T loops). RNAcentral also lists the same sequence under 1 other name. The record is from RNAcentral. Lineage: Bacteria; Bacillati; Chloroflexota.